GCUGGGCUGAACACUGAUGACUGAGAACUGUGAACUCCGCCAGAGCCGGAAGGCAGCAACGGUAGCAGACCUCCAGGGUGUCAGUGGGAAGCCCUUUCUU
Molecule: signal recognition particle RNA, 100 nt
Filed under: Myxococcales bacterium
Lineage: Bacteria; Pseudomonadati; Myxococcota; Myxococcia; Myxococcales
Description: signal recognition particle sRNA small type
Rfam family: Bacterial small signal recognition particle RNA (bases 9-92)
About the family: The signal recognition particle (SRP) is a universally conserved ribonucleoprotein involved in the co-translational targeting of proteins to membranes. Archaeal SRP consists of a 7S RNA and homologues of the eukaryotic SRP19 and SRP54 proteins. In most bacteria, the SRP consists of a 4.5S RNA and the Ffh protein (a homologue of the eukaryotic SRP54 protein).
Source: RNAcentral